UACGUAGGGUGCGAGCGUUAAUCGGAAUUACUGGGCGUAAAGCGUGCGCAGGCGGUUAUAUAAGACAGAUGUGAAAUCCCCGGGCUUAACCUGGGAACUGCGUUUGUGACUGUAUAGCUAGAGUACGGCAGAGGGGGGUGGAAUUCCUGGUGUAGCAGUGAAAUGCGUAGAUAUCAGGAGGAACAUCGAUGGCGAAGGCAGCCCCCUGGGCCUGUACUGACGCUCAUGCACGAAAGCGUGGGGAGCAAACAGG
RNAcentral lists this ribosomal RNA (253 nucleotides) under uncultured bacterium. RNAcentral's name for it is "partial 16S ribosomal RNA". It matches the Rfam family "Bacterial small subunit ribosomal RNA", at positions 524 to 776 of the family's 1533-position model. The record is from RNAcentral.